Triticum aestivum (bread wheat) is the source of this 137-nucleotide non-coding RNA. The record is from Rfam. Lineage: Eukaryota; Viridiplantae; Streptophyta; Magnoliopsida; Poales; Poaceae.
GUAGUACUCCCUCCGUUCAGAAAUACUUGUCAUCAAAAUGGAUAAUAGGAGAUGUAUCUAGAUAUAUUUUAGUUCUAGAUACAUUUCUUUUUAUCCAUUUUGAUGACAAGUAUUUUCGGACGGAGGGAGAGUACAUG